This 372-nucleotide unclassified non-coding RNA is filed under the name soil metagenome. RNAcentral describes it as "partial contains 5.8S ribosomal RNA, internal transcribed spacer 2, and large subunit ribosomal RNA". The stretch from base 3 to 120 matches the Rfam family "5.8S ribosomal RNA", at positions 38 to 154 of the family's 154-position model. The record is from RNAcentral.
GAGAAGAACGCAGCGAAAUGCGAUAAGUAAUGCGAAUUGCAGAAUUCCAGUGAGUCAUCGAAUCUUUGAACGCACAUUGCGCCCUUUGGUAUUCCGAAGGGCAUGCCUGUUCGAGCGUCAUUAUCACCCCUCAAGCCCUCGGCUUGGUGUUGGACGGUUUGGUGGAGGCCCCCUCGGGGGCUCCUGCCCCUCCCAAAGACAAUGACGGCGGCCUCGUUGGACCCCCGGUACACUGAGUUCUUCACGGGACACGUAUCGGACACAUGGGUUUACGGGACACGGUCUGCCUCCCCUCAGGGAGAAUCUUUCUAAGGUUGACCUCGGAUCAGGUAGGGAUACCCGCUGAACUUAAGCAUAUCAAUAAGCGGAGGA